Long non-coding RNA from Eucalyptus grandis, 825 nucleotides. RefSeq lists it as uncharacterized. The transcript is spliced from 4 exons. Lineage: Eukaryota; Viridiplantae; Streptophyta; Magnoliopsida; Myrtales; Myrtaceae. The record is from RefSeq and is a predicted model, not a curated record.
CCCUUAUUUGCCACAUUAUGCUUUUUGGUUAGACUCUGCAUGAAGCUUGUUCAUCUGCAAUAAGGAAUGACUCGCUGGACUCCUAUUUACACGUUGCUAAUGGAACUUAUGUCUUCACUGCUAACAAUUGUGUGAUGUGCACCUGCAACGCAGCAAAUAACUGGACAUUACAUUGCCAGCCAUCCCAGCUUAAGCCAUCUAAUCAGUCGGGUUGCCCCUCAAUGCAAUGCGAGGGUUCAAAUUUAUUCCUGGGCAACUCAACUUCGACAUCUUGUAACCGCACAACCUGUGCCUAUGCUGGUUAUAUGAACCAGACUAUUCUAACAGUGCUUGUCACCGAUAACACUUGUCCAGUUUCAAAUAGCUUCGCCAUGAAGGACAGUUUUCGGGCAUUUAGCUGGAACUUCUUCCUGAUUUUGAUCUUGCCCCUGCUCUCAUUCCAUCAUAUUCAGUGAUGACGUCUGUAUCAAAGACUGUCACCCUCGAUGCUUACUUGUAUGUCUUCGCCUUCAAUGCACGCCGGUAUGUCUGUAAGUGUUGCGCAUGUCACAGAGAUGUCAGGUACCUGUUUUAUCCAUUGGCGCUUCUGUACCAUAGAAUUGUAGCUUCCCUUGUUCCAAUGGAAAAAUUCGAUUCUUCUUUUUUGGGUUCCAUUCUUAGAUGGCUAGACUUAUUGUUUGCUAGUUUAUAUGGGAGUUGUGCAAUGUUGAAACUCUAUUGCACCUUCAAGAAUUCGAUGUUGUCCUCGCCAAUGUGUCCAGACUUGCGAUUUUUUUUUCUUUAUUCAUUUUCUGCAAUGGCAACGUAUGCGAUUUUCCUGUUCAA